AGCCGCGUGUCAGUAGGGCAGCGGGUUGCGUUGCGUUGCGGUGCCCGGCCUGGCCCGGUCAGGGCGGCUGUGGGUGAGCGUGGGGCAGAGGCACUUCUCGUCUAGUUCCGGCAACUUGCGGCGGGCUCCCGCUCACCUCAGCGCCCCAGGACUGCGGGGUGUCCAGGGGGACCCCCGGCUCCCGCGCCAGCAGCCGCGGCGGGAGUGCCCCCAGAGCCGCGGACCCAGUGGCUCUCCCGCGGAGGCAGGGUGACUGCUGUCUUGCAUUUGAAGCCCUGUAUGAUCCCUGCUGCCUCCGAAGUGUAACGCCCGCUUGGCAGCCGCGUUUCUAGUCAGGCGGAGCCACUUGGCUCGGGGGCUCGUUAGAAUCUUCCCCGCGCCCGCGUUCCACGGCGGUUAACGACCCGCCCUCCUCUUCAACGGUCUCCACGCGCCACCCGCAUCCGCCAGCCUUUCCUCAGGCUCUGGCAGUGUAGGCUGUUUUUCACUCCUAAUAAAGUGUCACUUGUUCUUAAUUCCACGUGACCUGGAUGAUACAACCCUACGUCCCUAGCCGGGUUAGUCAGUUAUUUAUGAAAUGCAAAUCUACAGAGCCAAGCGAUAGCCUCCUUCUUACCUGAAUUCAAAGUUAUUAAUCUGCCUCUUAGUUUGUAGAGGGGACUUUAUUUAUUUUUUUAAAGAAAUGUUUCGUGUUCCAAGCCAAGUCAGCCAAAUCAAGUCCAAAACCGUAAGUGUCCCACACCAGGGGCUUCAGCUAUUUCCAACAUCUUUUGGCGGGCUUCCUAUGUGCAGGCCCAAACCCAGAGGCUUGGGGUUCGGAUGCCCCCAAGCAUGAAUGACCUGUGCCCCCCGUGUCUGGGAGGCAUGGCAGCGGUGGAAGUGUGGCAACAGUAAGCAGGAGUUCCCACAGACGCUGCUGAUGCUGUUGGUGGGGGGGAGGGGGUGGCAAGCACCAACCAAGGGUUGGUGACCACCUGCAGACCAGCGGGGAUCGCUGACCACCGGCAGAUGCUGCCAGCGGUGUCAACAGCAGGGGAUGGUGAGCAGCAACUGUGCAGCAACUGCCUGCCUGCUUGCCUUUUUGUAGGGGGUGCACUGCCACACUCGGGGUGCACGUGCACCCCCUAUGCGUUGCCCCUGCCCCCAAGUUUCACCAGCCCUCAGCCAUAUGGCCACAGGAGCAAGCUAGGGAGGAAUAUCACAUUUCCAUAAAGUGGGCUCCAUAAAGUGGGCUUUAAGCCCCAACACCCCAGCGGGUGCGAAACCACGCCAGAAGAACUGUUAUCCCGGGGAACACUUAAAGAAAACUGCCUUCAUGGACCCAGAUACAUGGUGUUUCCCAGAGGGGACAUUCCUCAAUAAUGUGCGGCACUGAGCAGUGUUAGUAAAGCCUCUAAUUCUUUUCAGCCAGAGAAAGGCACAUGCUGUGCUAGGUGUGGCGAUGCACCUCACCCUCUGCACUGCUUUUUCCAAAUUCUAGAUGUGCCCCUGCUCAUGAGGCUCACCUUUCAAGAAGAGCCUGUGAAAGGCCUCACAGGGUCUCUUGGUGUCUGAGUUGCUCCGUGACCCGAGGGAAAGGGAGUGUGCAGUUUGGUUUUCCCCGUUGCCCAUCUCUCAGAUCUGACCUGGGUUUUUCCAGGCUUCUGCCUCCUAAACUGCAGAGAUGCUGCAUGUGGGACUCGGCUAAGAAAAAAGUUCUCCUGGGAGCGUCGCAGGCCUGAUCUCUACUGCUCAUCUUUGACUGACCUGCCUGAAAGGAAUCAUCAGGACACCUACCUGCAGACACCCAUGUGGGCCCAUGAUGGAAGGAGGCAGCCAAGCUCCUAUGCUAGUCCUUGCCUUUGUAAAAAAAUGAAAAAAUUAAAAAAAAAAAAAUCCAUGUGGCAUUUGUUCUACUCAGACUCCUUUGUUUUCACAUCUCAUUAAAAAUCUCACUGUUUGCUUUUUCUGCUCA
Alligator mississippiensis (American alligator) is the source of this 1954-nucleotide long non-coding RNA. RefSeq lists it as uncharacterized. The transcript is spliced from 2 exons. NCBI's taxonomy places the organism in Eukaryota, Metazoa, Chordata, Crocodylia, Alligatoridae. The record is from RefSeq and is a predicted model, not a curated record.